GAUGCCCUGAAAGCUCAGCACCUCCAACCUGAUCUGCUCUCGGCGCUGGCGGAGCGCCUGGUCGAGUGGUGAUCCUGCCGACAGGCGCAGUGCGCACACUUCACCACAACCUCACAGGAUGGUUUCCAGAGUGUCAGUGGAUUCUCUGUCGCAUGUUGCGCGCUACACAGCCUAGCCUUACAUCCAUGUUGACCUGAUGGAGGAGACAUUACAGGACUGAAGACGGACAGAGGAUGGAAUGCAGAGCAGGGGGAGGACAGACCACCUGGCUGCACAGCUCCGUCCUGAAUACAUUUGAGGACCGGAUGGCGGACCGAGGUGACCUGAGGUGACCCGAGGUGACCCGAGGUGACCUGAGGUGACCUGAGGUGACCCGAGGUGACCCGAGGUGACCCGAGGUGACCCGAGGUGACCUGAGGUGACCCGAGGUGACCCGAGGUGACCUGAGGUGACCUGAGGUGACCCGAGGUGACCCGAGGUGACCCGAGGUGACCCGAGGUGAGCCGGCGCUCAGCUUCUUCAUGCCGCCUGCAGCAGGCUGUGAUUCUCUGCUGUGACUAAACAAGAGAUACGGAUCGUUUUGUGUGAAUCCAACAGUGUCUGGGUCCAGUUUAACCUGUUUCAGAGUAAAUCUGCACAGCUGAAGGAAAAGUUCAUGUUUAAAGCUGUUUAACUUAACUUUAAUGUUUAAAAGAAGAGCUGAAUGUUAAUAUUGACCAUAAAGUUCAGUCUCAGUGGUGUAAAUGUCUUCUGCUCGUUAUACUGCUGAAUGUUGUGCAUUCAGACUAAAACCAUUAACUAUUUCAAUCUAGGGACCACUGAGGAACCAGAACCUGGUCCAGAGGUGAUCUGCAGCCAGAUGUGGAUGGAGGGAGGUUUGUUUUUCAAUGCUUGAAUUAAUGCACGUAUGAAUAACUUACUGAGUUGUUAGUGUGUGAUUCUUUUUGAUUUUUGUUUUUUUGUCCUCCUUUGGGACCUCUUCAGGGUUGGAUGUGAUGAAAACAAACUGAAGAUAAAAGAGGCAUCACCUGAAGGCCUGAUCCAAGCAGGUUGUCAGUCUGGUGUCAUAAAGUCUCCUGGGUGCUGCAGGCCUGAGUCUCCACCUCCACCCAGCAGAAACCCAGCUGGUGGAGACAGGACCAGCUGGUUCAUGAGGGAUUUGAGCAGGACCAGGGCCUCAUCACAUCCCAGGAGGAGGAAUUCUGACGUGGCUCCAUCAACGACUCCAGCAGGAUGUAGAAAAGCCUGAUGGACCAGAGAGAAAAGCUCCAGGCUCUUCCACCUGCUCCUGUCUGGAAGUGGAUCACUCUGAGAUGAUGCUCAUCAGUUCAUCCACAACACUGAGGACGGUCUAGCAGAACCCUGCCAGAACCAGACCGGAGCUCCUGACUCCAUCCAGGGGCUUUUUCCUGGAGCAGCAUCUGUAACAGUAUUACAGUGUUCUCCCUGGAGAACCCUGAGCACUGGAGUCACAUGACCUCUGGAGAAACCUGAAGACUGGAGUCACAUCGCCUCCAGGAUCGACAUCUUAUCAUUGAUCUGUGCAUAUUGCUGUUGUUGUUCCUGGUGAAUAAAAGACAGAACUAUAGAAUUUUUAAAAACAUGUCAUUUUUUAAAGUUUCUAAAGUUUCUAACUUAUUUUUGAUUUUACUCUUGAAGGUUCUGUUGAAGUUUGUUAAAUAAAGCUCCCUGGACUCAGUGGCUGCUUUCAAAAAACAUUUAAUUAUCAUAUCUGUUCCAAAAAGCAUUUUAGACCAAACCAGCACAGCGUUGUCUUGACUGUACUAUGUAUUAUGUACUGUCUAUAUGAUAUCUUAUCUCUCUGAUCUUAUGUACUGUGCCUUGUUUAUACGAUCUCUUAUGCAUCAUGCUCUGUUUAUAUGAUCUUUUAUCCUAAUAUCUUGAUCUUAAAUGACUCUUGUGCCACUGUGAAGCACUUUGUGACGGUUGCUCUGUGAAAAGCGCCGCACAAGUAAAUUUUACUUACUUACUUACUUACUUGCUUACUUACUAUUAACAUAAUUCAGCUGUUCAUU
Molecule: long non-coding RNA, 2036 nt
Organism: Salarias fasciatus (jewelled blenny)
Lineage: Eukaryota; Metazoa; Chordata; Actinopteri; Blenniiformes; Blenniidae
Exons: 4
Source: RefSeq, a predicted model, not a curated record